UUUCUUUUCACUCCAAAAGGGAGGGCCUUUCUUUGCUUUAUUUCGUGAUUUAUGUUUUAAUUUUGCAUGUAUUUUAUUUCAGAUACAAUCACAAUGCCUAGAGGGGGACUUGAGGGUGUGAGAGACACCCAACGUGUGUGAAGGUUGUUAUUGCCAUCUAUUUGGUAUUGCGCAAUGAUGGUGACCUUCCUGUUUGCUCUGAAUUUGCAUGACACGGCUAUGUUUUUCUGGGCAAGCCAUCCAUUGGAUAAAACAGGGUGAGAGCUAGGCGAAAGCAGGUGGAAACACAGGCUAUGCAUUUACACACACCCUACACUCACACACAUGGCCAAUGUUGUGCAAAAGGGAUGUUGGGGUAUUGUAUGUCAAUGGUUAUGUUUGGGAUGGGAAAAUUAUUAUGGAGUUGAGUGAUAUUUGUCUUUUUUGUAGAGUGACCUCGACCCUUCCGCCAGGGGAGAGCGAUCCACUCCAAACUCAAACCGAGUUACCUAUUAUGAGUAGGUCUGAACCUCAUGUGAAGUUUCCCAGGUUCAAAGAUCACCAUCAGAAGACAAGGAAGAUUAGAUCCCCAGACCAUGCUGCUGUGCUCCCAUCUGUCACCAUAACAUUGAUUCCAAGUUUGCCCAACUAAGGCCAGAUGUGGGAAUGCAUUCUGAACAACAUUUUGAAUCCAUUGAAGCUGUUGCCGGGAACAAAGGUGAGAUGGCAAACCUAUGGGCAUUGUAUGAGCAGGAUGAUUGUGAACUUCAAUGGAAAGAAAUCAGCCUAUGAAUUCAACUUGGAUAACCGUCCUGGAGGAGUGCUGUGGGUUGUGACACCAUCUGAAUACGUCUCCCUUCAGAAGACAGAGCACACUUGUGAAUUGACUUCUACUGUAGUUCACAAUUGUGUCAAGAAAGGACAUUGGUCACUUAACAAAAGUGCAGACCAAGCCACUGUAGCGUAGAUGCUCCCUGAUGUGAAGAGAAUGGGAAAAUGUACCUGGAAUAGCAGUUUUCCCUGGGGACGUCUUAAAGAUCCCAGCCCUCAGUCUUUGAGAUAUGUGGUCCUGAAAUAUCGUGAGCUGUUUCCUACAACUCCUGUUCUGCUGGCCGGUUGCGCUGUCUGGAAAAAAGCUACUCCAUGUCCGGAAGGGUGCUGGAGCCACACCCUCUGGAUUGUGGUGAGUGCUGAAACAAAGCUUUGCUAAACAAAUAAGAUUCUCAUCAUUUCUUGGGACUAUUGGGAGACUUGCCUGACUCGAAUUGGAUCUCUGAUAUUGAUGCUUCUCCUCCUCUAGGCCAAGCCUAGAGUGAACCAUCUAGACUAAGAAUCUUUAACCAAUUUAAAAUGUCUUUCAAUAGGAAUCCAGAAGGGAAGAUUGGAAUCCAGUUUUGGCAUAACUGACUCGUCAGUCAAACUUAAGUGCCAGAGUGGUUACAGUUUUAAGCUUGACUGGCCUGAUUGGUGAGUUCAGAUAGUCAAGGUCUAUGUAGACCUGUGUCAUGGUAAGUCAUUCUAAUUAACUAACAAACAACAGUAACAUUGCACUUCAGAGUGUUUGAAGUGUGCCACAUACAUUAUCUCAGAAAUCCUUCCAACAACCCCUUAAGUCAAGGGCAGGCAGACCUAAGAUUUCUAGAAGCUACUUUCUCUCUCUCUUUUUGCCAGAGCCUUGGGAGCUACCAGCACAAAACAGCAGCUCGGGGGAGCAGAGUUGGUCACAAAAUGGCAACCUGGGGAGGUGAAGCCAGUAGCAAAAUGGCAGCUAGUGCAAAGAUUUUACCUGGCUGACGUUCUGAUUUAUGAAGCAUUUGUGUGAUGAGCAAAACUGCACAAGAACAAGAAGAUUGCAUCAUUGCACUAAAACCCCCAACAAUUUGGGAAAGAUCCCUAAACUAGAAAAAUACUACACACAAUACAUCAACAACACCCCCCCCUCUCUCUCUCUCACACACACACACACACAUCCCGAAGUCACAAAGUGUUCCAUGAGAAAUUGAGGCCAGGUUCAAAUUAAAUACCAAACCGGAGGUCCCUUUGUUGGAGAUGGAGUUCAAGUGCAUUGACCUUUUGCACCACCUAUCCUAAUGACCACUAGGGGCAUUGGGAGCAGAGGUGGCUAUUGAGGAUCUCCUUACCACUCCCUGCUUUCCUCUGCUGUAUGACCCUCGCCUUGACUCCUCAGGUACUCCCUGUAGUGAGUCAGUCCUCCAGAGAGAAGGUGGAAACAUUUCUCUCUCUCCCUACCUAUUCAUUAUGUAGCUGAUAGAUAGGAUAGGUCUUUCCUAUUCCAAAUGUAUUUCACUAAUAAACCUAUUUAGUUUAGACUCUACAAUGAUCUCCAUGUGUGUUACUUAAAUAGCUGCAACAACUAAACUCUGCACUCUGUAACUGGAGUGGUAGCUUCCUUGGUGUGGUGCUUCGCUAAAUAAUCACAAACCCCAACAGGAUUACAGGCUCAGCAGCCCAAAAUUCUGCAGCGGAUUUUUUCCUUUUAAAGUGCAGCUGAGUGAGUUAGAAAGACAGCAUGGAUCCAGAGGCGAGCGUCGCUGCCUUUUCCAAGCUAAAUGGAAGGCAUUAUGAACAAUGGGUUAUGAAAAUGGAAGCUCUCCUGAUGGCAAAAGGAAUUAAUGGAGUAUUCAGAGAACCACAACCAACAGAUGGGGAGGCUGCCAAAAAAGAGUGAGAUUCACAGAACGACAGAGCAUAUGUCUUGGUUCUUCUAAAUGGGAGAGGAACAGCCAAACUUCGUUGCUGGCAGUUUGGUGGACAGAUUGAGAAAAUUUUGAUCCAGGAUGCUCUCUUAGUCCCUGAUAUGGAGUGUAACUUGAUCUCUGUGGGCCAUGGAGUCAAUGAAGGUUGCAAAGUGACUUUUGAGGACAAAGCUUGUUACAUUACCAAAUAUGAUAAUUUAAUUAAUUAAUUACUGUUUUAAUAGUUUUAACAUUGUUUUAAGAUAUUGUUUUAAAAUUUUGAAUUGUUGUGGUGUUAACUUUUUGCUGUCAUUUAUUUUAACUAAUGUUUUAAUUUUUCUGUUGUCGUUUAUUUGUUUUAACUAAUGAUUUUAACUUUUUUGUUGUCAUUUUUUGUUGUAAACCACCUAGAGACGUACGUUUUGGGUGGUAUAAAUAUAUGUUAAAUUAAAAAAAUAGAUUAUGACAGCC
Long non-coding RNA from Hemicordylus capensis (graceful crag lizard), 3146 nucleotides. RefSeq lists it as uncharacterized. The record is from RefSeq and is a predicted model, not a curated record. Lineage: Eukaryota; Metazoa; Chordata; Lepidosauria; Squamata; Cordylidae. The transcript has 2 exons.